Molecule: transfer RNA, 66 nt
Filed under: Callosobruchus maculatus (cowpea weevil)
Lineage: Eukaryota; Metazoa; Arthropoda; Insecta; Coleoptera; Chrysomelidae
Description: tRNA-Arg
Source: RNAcentral
AAAUAAGAAGCAAAAUUUUGCAUUUAGUUUCGACCUAAAAAUUUGGUGAAAAAUUCACCCUUAUUU